CAGAAUUUCCACAACUGUAUCUCCUUCUGAUGUGAUCCUAUAAGAUCUCACAAGCUAAAUAAGGUCCGGAGCUAGUACUUGGAUGGGAGACCUCCAAAGAAGAUCUAGGAAUUCAGA
RNAcentral lists this ribosomal RNA (117 nucleotides) under Chrysemys picta bellii (western painted turtle). The record is from RNAcentral. Lineage: Eukaryota; Metazoa; Chordata; Testudines; Emydidae.